AUUGAACGCUGGCGGCAUGCUUUACACAUGCAAGUCGAACGGCAGCGCGGGCUUUGGCCUGGCGGCGAGUGGCGAACGGGUGAGUAAUACAUCGGAACGUGCCCAGUAGUGGGGGAUUGCUCGGCGAAAGCCGGAUUAAUACCGCAUACGACCUGAGGGUGAAAGCGGGGGAUCUUCGGACCUCGCGCUAUUGGAGCGGCCGAUGGCAGAUUAGCUAGUUGGUGGGGUAAAGGCCUACCAAGGCGACGAUCUGUAGCUGGUCUGAGAGGACGACCAGCCACACUGGGACUGAGACACGGCCCAGACUCCUACGGGAGGCAGCAGUGGGGAAUUUUGGACAAUGGGCGAAAGCCUGAUCCAGCAAUGCCGCGUGUGUGAUGAAGGCCUUCGGGUUGUAAAGCACUUUUGGCGGGAACGAAAAGGACUGUGCCAAUACCACGGUUCGAUGACGGUACCCGCAGAAUAAGCACCGGCUAACUACGUG
Molecule: ribosomal RNA, 484 nt
Filed under: uncultured bacterium
Lineage: Bacteria
Description: partial 16S ribosomal RNA
Rfam family: Bacterial small subunit ribosomal RNA
Source: RNAcentral